This is a long non-coding RNA of Rosa chinensis, 654 nucleotides long. RefSeq lists it as uncharacterized. The record is from RefSeq and is a predicted model, not a curated record. The transcript has 3 exons. Lineage: Eukaryota; Viridiplantae; Streptophyta; Magnoliopsida; Rosales; Rosaceae.
UCAGCAACUCCCUUCCACGUUGCCAGCAUGCAUAUGGCAACUCCUCCAAGAACAUCAUCUCAGACCUUCAAAAGGGAGAACCCAGCCCAGAAAACGUCAUUCACUCUCCUCUUCUCGCCCUUUGUCUCUUUGCUGGGCACAUCAGUCUGUUUGCGAGCCCCUAAACUCCUAGUUAGAGACCUCCGAUCAAAAAACUUUCUUCACCAAAGUUGUUCGUCUAUGUCUCCUCUAUCUAUUCUCAAAAUUUCAGCUCCAUUGGAAUCGAUUUGGGUCCUGUACACCCCUCAAAGCUGAAGCUGUUCUGAAACGAGCCUGCUCCGGAUUUCUGCUUAAAUUUCCUCUCUUGCUCUACCCGAAUCCCUCACAUCUUACUUGAGACUGAUACAAACACUUGAUUGAGCGAACUUUUUGGCCUGCGGCUGGACUCGAUCCAAUCAGCUCCCUCAGCUCUCUUUCCUGUUGAAAUCCUCAAGAGAAACUCACCUUUUUUAUUAGUCUUUGGCUUGAUAUCUUGGUAGGAUCUUGUGAAGUGGUGGUUGCUACAAGGUUGCAUUGAGGCCAAGUGCUGCAAGAGAAAGCUCGAGUUCCAGGUAGGGGAUGCCUUUAACUCUAUCUAUGCUUUUCUUGCAUAUACUAUGUUUUAUAUGAGGCCUC